GUUUGGUUAAGUUAGAAAGGGCGCACGGUGGAUGCCUUGACACUAGGAGUCGAUGAAGGACGGGACUAACGCCGAUAUGCUUCGGGGAGCUGUAAGUAAGCUUUGAUCCGAAGAUUUCCGAAUGGGGAAACCCACCAUACGUAAUGGUAUGGUAUCCUUGCCUGAAUACAUAGGGUAAGGAAGACAGACCCAGGGAACUGAAACAUCUAAGUACCUGGAGGAAGAGAAAGCAAAUGCGAUUUCCUGAGUAGCGGCGAGCGAAACGGAACAUAGCCCAAACCAAGAGGCUUGCCUCUUGGGGUUGUAGGACAUUCUAUACGGAGUUACAAAG
This 331-nucleotide ribosomal RNA is filed under the name Bacillus wiedmannii. RNAcentral describes it as "bacterial LSU rRNA". It matches the Rfam family "Bacterial large subunit ribosomal RNA", at positions 1 to 327 of the family's 2925-position model. Lineage: Bacteria; Bacillati; Bacillota; Bacilli; Caryophanales; Bacillaceae. The record is from RNAcentral.